Molecule: long non-coding RNA, 388 nt
Organism: Dermochelys coriacea (leatherback sea turtle)
Lineage: Eukaryota; Metazoa; Chordata; Testudines; Dermochelyidae
Exons: 3
Source: RefSeq, a predicted model, not a curated record
GGCACUCUGUAUCCAUUCACUGAGGAAACCCCUUAGGGAGUGAGGGGCUUUCAUGAACAUGUGGAUCCUGAUUCUUGUGCAAUCAGUCAGCUCUGCAACAGGCUGAACUUGGGAGAGAUCCUACCUUAGUAUAUAGGAAAGCUAACUGUUGCCUGAGCGACUCCUCGGGAUCUGUGGGCUCCUUGCUAGGUGACGCUGAGAUCACCUGCUAAACCAAAUCCAGGCCUCUCACCACAGUGUGAAACCAAAUGCAGACAAGCCUGACUUCUACUUGGGGGAAGUUUGAAGGUGAAAAGAAGAAAAUCCUGAGAUUUUACAGACCAGUUCAGUGUGGAUCCCCACACAGCAAGCACUGACCGUGGGACCCAACGGGCAAACAGUUUCUGUG